CCUUUCGAUGGUAGUGUAUUGGACUACCAUGGCAGUAACGGGUAACGAAGAAUUAGGGUUCGAUUUCGGAGAGGGAGCAUGAGAAACGGCUACCACAUCUAAGGAAGGCAGCAGGCGCGUAAAUUACCCAAUCCUGACUCAGGGAGGUAGUGACAAGAAAUAGCAAACCGGGAACCUCAUGGUUUCACGGUAUUGCAAUGAGAACAAUUUAAAACCCUUAGCGAGAAUCAAGUGGAGGACAAGUCUGGUGCCAGCACCCGCGGUAAUUCCAGCUCCACUAGCGUAUAUUAAAGUUGUUGCAGUUAAAAAGCUCGUAGUUGAACCUCUGUCUGGGGCUAGUUUUGGCUUUGGUCAGGCUAGUUCUAGGCAUCCGCCUACAAGACUUAGAGGGCAUUCAGUUGUUCACUAGGAGGAGUAGGCAUUUUACUUUGAAAAAAUUAGAGUGUUUAAGGCAGGCAAUCGCCCGCAUAUAUUAGCAUGGAAUAAUAGAAUAGGACACUUUUCCAUUUCGUUGGUUAUUGGAAUCGUGUAAUGAUUAAUAGGGACAGUUGUGGGCAUUUGUAUUUAAUUGUCAGAGGUGAAAUUCUUGGAUUUAUUAAAGACAAACUAACGCGAAAGCAUUUGCCAAGGAUGUUUUCAUUAAUCAAGAACGAAAGUUAGGGGAUCAAAGACGAUCAGAUACCGUCCUAGUCUUAACUAUAAACUAUUCCGACUCAAUGUUUGACUGGCUUAUAUAACCAGUUGAGCGUUGUAUGAGAAACCAAAGUCUUUAGGUUCUGGGGGGAGUAUGGUUGCAAAGCUGAAACUUAAAGGAAUUGAUGGAAGAGCACAACCAGGAGUGGAUUCUGCGGCUUAAUUUGACUCAACACGGGGAAACUUACCAGGUUAAAACAAUAGUGGGAUUGACAGUUUGAGAGCGCUUUCUUGAUUGGUUGGGUGGUGGUGCAUGGCCGUUCUUAGUUGGUGGAGUGAUUUGUCUGCUUAAUUGCGUUAACGAACGAGACCUUAACCUGCUUACUAGACUGGCGAUCAUCAAUCGUUAGCUCUUCUUAGAGGGACUUUGGUUGUUUUAACUCCAAGGAAGUUUGAGGCAAUAACAGGUCUGUGAUGCCCUUAGAUAUCCUGGGCCGCACGCGUCAUACAAUGACUAGUUCAGAAAGUUUUCUCCUGACCCGAAAGGGGAUGGGUAAUCUUGAUAAUACUAGUCGUGUUAGGGAUCGAUCUUUGCAAUUAUAGAUCUUGAACGAGGAAUUCCUAGUAAGUGCGGUUCAUCAGACCGUACUGAUUACGUCCCUGCUCUUUGUACACACCGCCCGUCGCUUCUACCGAGUGGGUGGUCCGGUGAGAUAAUUGAAC
This 1356-nucleotide ribosomal RNA is filed under the name metagenome. RNAcentral's name for it is "SSU rRNA". It matches the Rfam family "Eukaryotic small subunit ribosomal RNA", at positions 318 to 1715 of the family's 1831-position model. The record is from RNAcentral.